CCCCCUCUCCCUCUCUCUCUCUCUCUCUCUCCCUCUCCCCUCUCUCUCUCCCUCUCUCUCUCUCCCUCUCCCUCUCAGAAUGAGCUGGAGCCCAUACCUAAGAUGGAUGGAGGAGUCAAAGACUACAUCCCAAAUGGCACCCUAUUUCCCACAUAGUGCACUACUUUUGAACAGUAGUAUAUAGGGAAUAGGGUGCCAUUUGGGACACGUACCAAGUGACGAUUGGGAGUGGACAGCUCCCAUGUUUCUAAUUUGUAGCUCGAUCCCCAACCUGCCCACCACCCCCCACCCCAACACGAUGUACAAAAGAAGUGAUUUGUUUACUACACAGCACAGCCACCUCAACCACAACUACACAACAACAUGUUUUGGUAGCGACGCCGUGGUUCAGGGGCCUGCUGUGGCCGGCAACAGACAUGACCUCUUGAUACUAACCCCUGACCUUUAACCUCCAACCCGUUGUCCAUGUUAACUUUAACUCCACAUGCCCCCCUGGACACCUAAAUACAAUUCAGUGUGUGUUCCCUGGCUUUCUACAGGCUUCUCUGCUUCCUCGCUGAACACACACCUUCUUAUUCUUCCAUUGACAUUGGAGGGGGUCUUUUAGUUCAAGCUACAGAGAUACAAAGUGAACUGGAAGCGCAACGUGUAGAGAAGAGCAGUUUUUAAAGUGGAAGGAAGCUCCGAGAGUUUAGCUCCACACUAGUUUAAAUGUCCCCAAUUAUAUGACAUCACUUCUUGUUUUCACUCCCUAACUUUCACCAUGACCCACAGAAAGUCAUUAAUUCUAAACUGCAAGUUAACUGCAGAGGCUGACCUGUAAAUGUGGCCCAUUAGUGGUCAGAGUUUGUGUGUGAUGUCAUCCGUUUUUUACCCUUUCCAUGGAAGACGCAGCCAAGCACUCAUUCGCCUGCCAUGUGGGGUUGUUGCUACGGCGUCACCAAGGUGUUACCAUGUCAUUACCAUGACGUUCAUAUGAGUCAGGCAGACAAGCAGUCCCUUACCAUCAGCGUCUUGCCCACCCCCCCACACACACCUCCCAUUCACCUGAACUUCCCAAAGACACAUUAUACAUUUCUGUUUUUUAGUUUGUUUGUUUCCCCCUCAUUUUUUUUAAGCAUACUUAUACAUUACAUAUAAUUAUAUUUACAUACAUUACUCUUUGCUCUUUUUGGAAAUCAUAAACUUAAAAAAGUUUAGAAAAAUAAAAUAGUUUUAUGGUGCCCUUUCUCUUGGUCUCGUCCGCCCAGCAAGGCUUGUCCCAGGGGAAAGCUAUAUCUCGCUCCGCCCCUAAAACUCCAGGCGCAGUGGUUUAGGCCGUUGUUAUGGUGCUUGGCCAAAACAUCUUCCAUCCACUCUCCCCUUUUGAGCCUUGAUAGAAGGGAUCCUGACAAUGUCCUCUCUUUUUGUAUUUUUGUUGAUUUCGUUUAUCUUGUUUUUUUGUGUUCUUUCUUCAUCCAUGUUGUCAUCCUUCUAGUUUUGGUUUUAUUUACUAGAAUAGAAUAGAAAAAACAAACAGGUCAAUGUUAAUGGAAACUUUUUUUUCAUAUACUGUAUACUUUUAUAUUUAAUAUUUUUUCAACAGCAUACUUUUUCAUAUAUUAAAUUCCAAACAGGAGCACCUAAGACAUUUAAUAUAUUUUCAAAUUAUAGGUACAGGUGUAAAG
This is a long non-coding RNA of Oncorhynchus tshawytscha (Chinook salmon), 1667 nucleotides long. NCBI's taxonomy places the organism in Eukaryota, Metazoa, Chordata, Actinopteri, Salmoniformes, Salmonidae. The record is from Ensembl.